Molecule: long non-coding RNA, 3585 nt
Organism: Gallus gallus (chicken)
Lineage: Eukaryota; Metazoa; Chordata; Aves; Galliformes; Phasianidae
Exons: 2
Source: RefSeq, a predicted model, not a curated record
GGUGGUGGUGGCGGCGCCGCCUCUGCGCGCGCGCGGUCCCCCCACCGCCGCGCCGGGAGGGACGGGCGGGCCCAGCGGCAGCCGCAGGGAACGCGGUGCCCCCCGCGUCUCCGCCUCACGGCGCCGCUCCUCGGGGAGCGGCUCUGCCGGAACUUCGGCUCCCGGCACCGGACCCGCCGAAGGCCGAGUGACGCGGGAAGCCCCCGCUCGGCCACGCUAGCGUUAAAAAUAAUAAUAAAAAAAACGAAUCCACAUCAUUCAGCUGGGAGUCUUCCAGCGCGGCAGGCAUGUGAUCAGUGGGGGCGGGGGAAGCGGGCGACUCGCCCACACCGAAACUGGCGUUGGCCGCGGUACACCUGCCCAGCGGCCAUUGAGCUCCGGCUGGUAGCGGUCACCUGGCGGAGACGGCCUGCCCCGCGGCACGGCCGCACCUAGCAGCGCUCCGAGCUUCUUCCCAAAAAAUCCUCGGGGAAGGGGGGGCUGCUUUAUUCCAGCCGGGCAGGGGAACGCCAGUUGGACCCAAGCGCAGCAGGCAGAGCGCUGGGAUACAUAAGCAUCCCCUUCCGCAGGCCUAACAUGAGUGGCACGUUAUGAGAUAAGCAACAUAAGCAGAGCGCUGCUGUUCCAUUGCUAGACAGACACGCGUACACCUGUGGCAGCAAACCAAAGAAUCCUGUGCCGUACAUCACAGCAAUCCUCCUUACCACCUGCUCUGCCUCCCACUUCCCUGUUGCCCACUUCCUGGGCUAUGCAUCCUUUACCCAGACCUAAAGGAACACCAGAGGCUGCACGGGGAGCAGGAGGCUGCUCCCAAACCCCUACAAAGACAUAUGCCCAAGCUUAACUGCAUACUUACUUACAUGCAUCUUUGCAGAGGCGGGUUUUAACCGAAGAUGCUGUACAACGGCUGACAGAUGGAGUAGCAGAGUACAAGCUACAGUCAUUGAGGGCUGUAGAAUCAAAUAUGAAAGCAAAGUGGUGGCUGAAGUCGUUUUGACAGAUGUCCUUCAAGAGAGCAAGUAAGUCAUGAACCAUGGGGAUAUGAACAAGUGAAAGAUGGUUGACUCAUAGAUCAGUCUGAAUUUCAAAUAUGGCACACUUCUUUUGAUAUUCUCUGUAUUAGCAGGCCUUUAAUAUGUCGUCUUCUUUAAAAGAUUCAAAAGAUGCAUGAGCUUGGUGAAAAAAAUGCAUGAAAGCCUUUGUUCCACUGUAUUUGAAGUGUAUCAGAAGUAAUUCUGAGCUCUCUUACAUGACAGCAAAAUGCCCUCAUUCUACGUAUGGAAAGUCAUGCUCAAGAAAUUUGACACAAAGGCCCCAGCUGAGAAACAGUUGAUAGAUUGAUGACUUUUUAGAUUGAAAAAACACUUCCUGAUGAGUCUCUAUGCCAGUUUGUAUGUAUCAUCACACAGAUGUGAAUAGAUGGUUUAUGAUGGGCAUGAAGCCAAAGUAAAGGGAUCUGGGAAGUGUUGUGUCCUGCCAAAUGAACAUUUGCUGUAGCUAAAAUAUGUUGCAAUGUGUCUUUUCCUUUGAUUAAUAUUUUUAAUUGAUUUGGAGGGGAAUGACUCAUAACACAGGGAGAAGGGUUCUUCCUAUCAUCACCUAUCUGGUGAGAUAAAGAUGAAUAGUAAAUUAUCUUAAGAGUGGCAGAUCUCAGAAGAGGUGAGGAGGCUGACAGUAUUCAAUGAUAUAUCUCAAUGGAAAACACUAUAGCAUAACCUUGAUUUUAAUACUGCAAAUUUAUAUGUAGGCAGACCUUUGGGAUGUUUUCAUUGUUAAGAGAGGAGAUUCUUCUUCUUCUUUUAUGAAUUAAUCACAAGGAGUUGUAGAUGUUUCCAGAGUUGGACACACCAAGAAAGGCAGUAGAAGGUAUGAUGGCAAUGGAAGAGCAUUCUAAAGGCUGAAGCUGAUGGGACUCUUGUAACUGGUAUGAAUAUGAUCAAUGCUGAUUAAUUAUGCUCUGAGCUGAAUUGGCAUUGUGCCAGUUCAGAGAUAGGCAUAAAACACAUGAAAGUAUAAAACAUUUACAGGAUGUUUGGCUUUGAAGAAGGAACUAUAUUGGAACCAGAAAUAUGAGGAUUCUUGGAUUCCUCUCAUAUUAUCAAGAAAGAUAAAGUGUAUUAGGUUUUUACUCAAGAGUAGUGCUCCUUUCUGACACAGAAAUAACUGACUUAUGGAAACACUGCUGACCAGGUAACCCCUAUGAGGAAGCACUGGCAUCUAACGGCCUGACAGUUAUAUGUCUGGUAAGUAACUGAUUAAGUGUAAUCAAUGAGAAUAAGCCGCAUUUUGACAUGUUACCCUGAAUCAAAAUCAGACUCUUUUCACAUACCAUACAGGUAUUAAGCUUUUAAGCGUUAAAGAAAGUUUUAUAGUUUUUCAUGUGUUCAAUCCUGCUUGAAAGGUUAACGUGUAAUGGAUAUUCAGUUGAUUAUUGUAAGCAUUUGGUUAUUUGUAAUAUAAUAUUCAGUAUUUUUUUUAUCCAUAUGCAUCCAGGCUUUAUUUAGAAAAGUAUAGAGUGCCUAGAAUAAAUCUUAAAAUAAAUAUUAUUAGAAUAUUAUAGUAAUUACAAGAAUAAAUAAUUAUUUGAAUAAAUCAUAUUAUUGUCAGGAGAGUGGCUGCGUGUGUGCUUGCAGAGAUGUGAGGCAGAUCAGUAUGGUACACAAAACAUGAGAAACAAGCUCAGAAUCAGAAGGUAAUGGAAAAAUCCUUUUAACAUGACCAUAUUAUAACGUUGCUCUAAGAAUGCUACAGAAGGAAAGAAGGUCAUAAAAGUCCACAGUGUAAUGCUAAACUUCAUUAGCCUGCCAAAAGAACUUUAAAAAAUAACCAACCAAAACAAAACCCCCUCAAAAAACCCAACAACUGUAUAGUCUAUUGGGAACACUGUAAAUCUAGUGUUUACCUUGGGGUUUUUAAAUAGAAUACUUGAGUUCUAUUUUCAGUUCUACAGUCUGAUUUUGGGCAAGUUGCUUCUAACUAUAUUUUUGGAGUGUUUUUUGACAAUGUAUUUAUAAGGGAACUGAGAUCAGCCUUCUCCAUCAAAGGCUUUGAGAGUUUGGGAUUGCAUUUAAACCUCUACAUAAUUUCUACAUGUAUUUGAUAAGUCCUUAUUUUUCUCCCCAUUUCUAUGUCCAUUUUUUGCAAAUAAUUUUGGAAUCCUCACAUAAAAAUGGAAACCUGACUGUAUGACUGCGCUUCUAUUACUGAACAUGGGUGAAAAGUUACGGUUGUCCAUAUAUACUUAUUGACUUCCCAAGGUUUUGCAUGACUGUUUGCUAAAUAGGCAGUUGGCCUUAUAUCCUAAGCAGUAAUGGAUGUAUACUUGUACAUCAUUUUGUCUUAUCUGUGGUCACCUUUAUCUUUUCACAGAAAUUAUCUGUGCAAGAUAAACUGUGAGGACCCCUUCAUGUUUCAACAAUAAAUUGCAUGCAGUUUGGAAAAAAAUAAAUUAUCUUGACAUUCCUCCUACUAAAUACAAAUAAUAUCAGUAGUAGUAAUGAGAAGAAUGUGGACUAAAACAAUAUUUCUUUAACUAUUCAAAUAUUCCACAGGUUUCUAUUUGAAAAUAAAGAAAAGUAUUGUAGA